This 254-nucleotide ribosomal RNA is filed under the name uncultured bacterium. RNAcentral's name for it is "partial 16S ribosomal RNA". It matches the Rfam family "Bacterial small subunit ribosomal RNA", at positions 524 to 776 of the family's 1533-position model. The record is from RNAcentral.
UACGUAGGGGGGCUAGCGUUGUCCGGAUUUAUUGGGCGUAAAGAGCGUGUAGGCGGCCAGGUAGGUCUGGUGUGAAAACUCGAGGCUUAACCUCGAGAUGUCAUCGGAAACCAUCUGGCUAGAGUCCGGAAGAGGAGAGUGGAAUUCCUGGUGUAGCGGUGAAAUGCGCAGAUAUCAGGAAGAACACCAAUGGCGAAAGCAGCUCUCUGGGACGGUACUGACGCUGAGACGCGAAAGCGUGGGGAGCAAACAGG